ACGCGAAGAACCUUACCGGCCCUUGACUUCUUGGUCGCAGGGGACAGAGACGUCCCCUUUCAGUUCGGCUGGACCAAUGACAGGUGCUGCAUGGCUGUCGUCAGCUCGUGCUGUGAAGUGUCGGGUUAAGUCCCUUAACGAGCGCAACCCCUAUUGUUAGUUGCUAACGCGUCAUGGCGAGUACUCUAGCGAGACUGCCGGUGUCAAACCGGAGGAAGGUGGGGAUGACGUCAAGUCCUCAUGGCCCUUACGGGUUGGGCUACACACGUGCUACAAUGGCGGUGACAGAGGGCUGCGAUCCCGCAAGGGGGAGCAAAUCCCUAAAAACCGUCUCAGUUCGGAUUGUUCUCUGCAACUCGAGAGCAUGAAGGUGGAAUCGCUAGUAAUCGCAGAACAGCAUGCUGCGGUGAAUACGUUCCCGGGCCUUGUACACACCGCCCGUCACACCAUGGGAGUUGGUUCUACCCGACGACGGUGCGCUAACCUUUUCGGAGGCAGCCGGCCACGGUAGGAUCAGCGACUGGGGUGAAGUCGUAACAAGGUAGCCGUACUGGAAGGUGCGGCUGGAUCACCUCCUU
This 578-nucleotide ribosomal RNA is filed under the name Isochrysis galbana. RNAcentral's name for it is "partial Bacterial small subunit ribosomal RNA". It matches the Rfam family "Bacterial small subunit ribosomal RNA", at positions 959 to 1532 of the family's 1533-position model. Lineage: Eukaryota; Haptophyta; Isochrysidales; Isochrysidaceae. The record is from RNAcentral.